CAUACUUACAUGCCUGGCUCCCUGUAUGCCAUUUGCAAAGUCCACCCGAGGAUUGGUAGCCUUCGCGGAUGGCGUGCGAGGAGCCAUGCAUGCAUCUUGCUU
RNAcentral lists this microRNA precursor (102 nucleotides) under Vitis vinifera (wine grape). RNAcentral describes it as "miR160d stem-loop (vvi-MIR160d)". Its record names the gene vvi-MIR160d. The stretch from base 8 to 93 matches the Rfam family "mir-160 microRNA precursor family". Rfam says of the family: The hairpin precursors (represented here) are predicted based on base pairing and cross-species conservation -- their extents are not known. In this case the mature sequence is excised from the 5' arm of the hairpin. The record is from miRBase by way of RNAcentral. Lineage: Eukaryota; Viridiplantae; Streptophyta; Magnoliopsida; Vitales; Vitaceae.